GACAAACAAUCUGAAAGAACGCUCUGAUGUUUAUAUGCAGUUAACGUUAUUUAUGGAAACAGCAGGUUGAAGAGUCUAUUUUACACAAACACCCUGUUGGCGUAUCUAAAGGCUUUUGCAUCGUUACAGAAAACUUUAUCGUUAACUUGCCUGGAUUCUCAGCUGACGACCAACGAACGCGUUCAAGAUGGCGGCGAGGUUUUCACGAGGACAGACGAAACACUGGAACGGAUUACUACAGGAUUCUCAUCAGAACGGCGUUACAUCUGGCACAGGAUGGCAACAUGACGUCAGAUUGAAGUUGUACGCUAAUGUCAUGGGAUGUUGCAUUUGGUUUGGAAAUGAAAGUCGAGUUUACAUCAGAACCCAACAUCAAACCAACGUCAAUGUCCAACAUCAGACAGACAAUGCAUUCUGGUUGCUUUCCAACACAACCUAAAAACAACAAAAUAUCAAUGUAUAUUAAUGUUACAGCUUAACGUUGUGUGGAUGUUACUAAAAUGUAUUUUAAUUGCCAUACUUAACAAAUAAAUGCCUGUAUUUGACAUCAA
Molecule: long non-coding RNA, 551 nt
Filed under: Danio rerio (zebrafish)
Lineage: Eukaryota; Metazoa; Chordata; Actinopteri; Cypriniformes; Danionidae
Description: lncRNA si:dkey-15b23.1 (ENSDARG00000099543.2)
Source: RNAcentral